This 31-nucleotide non-coding RNA is filed under the name Mus musculus (house mouse). The record is from RNAcentral. Lineage: Eukaryota; Metazoa; Chordata; Mammalia; Rodentia; Muridae.
GCCAGGUUCUUUGAAAAGACAACCAUAGUUU